Molecule: long non-coding RNA, 374 nt
Filed under: Numida meleagris (helmeted guineafowl)
Lineage: Eukaryota; Metazoa; Chordata; Aves; Galliformes; Numididae
Description: lncRNA (ENSNMEG00000009563.1)
Source: RNAcentral
UGGGUCCCGGCGGCGGGGCGGGGAGGGACGGGAGUCCCGGGGGCGGCCGGCCACCCGCAGCCCCGAUGCGGAGCCCCUUCUUGCCCGCUGCUGCGCAGGUUCGGUUAUCUAAGCUGUUGCCGCUCAUUUCACUCCCUAAUUUGUUGUUAACCAUCCCUCUAGCUGGUCAGCUCCGUUUCAAGCAGUUGCUCAGUCUCAGGAAAAUCCCCUUGGAGCGCGCUGAUCAGCCAGUUGAUGAGCAUUUGAACUUCCAAGGAAACAAGGUGAUUUGGAUUAAAAAAAAACAAAUCCCACUUGCUUGGAAUGACAGGAAGAAAGAAAUGACAACUCAUGAAGUUGAAGAAACCAGUUUGUGUGCAUGGAGACAGAAGUAG